Molecule: ribosomal RNA, 445 nt
Filed under: uncultured bacterium
Lineage: Bacteria
Description: partial 16S ribosomal RNA
Rfam family: Bacterial small subunit ribosomal RNA
Source: RNAcentral
GUGAGGAAUAUUGGUCAAUGGACGGAAGUCUGAACCAGCCAAGUAGCGUGCAGGAUGACGGCCCUAUGGGUUGUAAACUGCUUUUAUGCGGGGGUAAAGUGAGUGACGUGUCAUUCAUUGCAAGUACCGCAAGAAUAAGGACCGGCUAAUUCCGUGCCAGCAGCCGCGGUAAUACGGAAGGUCCUGGUGUUAUCCGGAUGUAGUGGGUUUAAGGGGAGCGUAGGCCGUCAGGCAAGCGUGUUGUGAAAUGUCGUGGCUCAACCAUGGACUUGCAGCGCGAACUGCCCGGCUUGAGUGCGCAGAAAGCAGGCGGAAUUUGUCGUGUAGCGGUGAAAUGCUUAGAUAUCACGAAGAACCCCGAUUGCGAAGGCAGCCUGCUGUAGCGCUACUGACGCUGAGGCUCGAAAGUGCGGGUAUCGAACAGGAUUAGAAACCCGUGUAGUCC